Molecule: long non-coding RNA, 2299 nt
Organism: Protopterus annectens (West African lungfish)
Lineage: Eukaryota; Metazoa; Chordata; Ceratodontiformes; Protopteridae
Exons: 3
Source: RefSeq, a predicted model, not a curated record
CCUUCCGCCUGAUUAAAUCUUUAGUCAGCUCAAGCUGAACUGAGGGAAGUGUUUGGGUGCCAAAUUCCUCAGCGAACAAAACCUUCCACUUAUAUUGGUGAGAGAACCCGUGCAAACAUUAGAGCUGUCAUUUGAAGAGCCUAUUACAAAUGGAGUCAGUGUAGCAGUUUAGAAUCUGCAAGCAAGUUAAAUGAUUCUGGGAUGAAGUCUUCAAAGGUGCAUCACAGCCACUAAAGAAUUCAACUGAUCAUUUGUCAGCUUCAGCAUGAUCUGCCUUCAGCUUUGGGAUGACUUGUUUCAAGCACAGAUACUCAGCACACAAUUCAUCUCCAUCAACAGUCAUAUCACAGGCAGUUACAAUCUCCAAAAUAUCAGAAGAACAGCAAGACUCAUCAAGGUUUAGAACAUGCAGUUUCUUCAGCGGACUUGUUUCAAAGUCAAACUACUUAUCCAGGUAAGCUAUCACUCAAUUGUACAAGUUCAGAGCUUCUGUUUUAAAUGAUGACACCUGGCUGUCAGUCAUAAAUCUGAAACUGUUAAUCACAAAGCCAAAAAACUGAUCUUUUUUUUUCUCACCAACUCAUUAAGUACUUUCUCCACCACAGCAAAAAGCUGUGUGAUGCAAGUUGUUUGACUCCAGUCGCUUAAUGGCCUGUGUGAACACUCAUGAAGCUGUACACAAAAUGAAUGUACCAUUCUGGGACAGCAAGUUCACCAUUCUGCAACAACCUGUCUUCCUGAUCUGCAGUAAAACUCCAAAUCAAUAUAUUUGUUUCCUGUUUUCCUUCACUGAUGAAAUAAAUCGUUACAGCUGUCCAGCAUUUUAUGAGCUUUCAACUGCAGGUUCAAGAGACAACCAGUGCACAGGAAUACGAUGUAACAAAACAGCGUAUUCUUCCUUUGCAAAGUCGUAGCAAGAUUUCAGCUUAUCCAACCAUUUAGCUGAUGAUGAAAAUUCAUUGUAUACCUUGGCAACCAAUUGCUCAACGUCAAAGGUCAACUGUUUGCAUGUGUAUUUUGCAGUGUUGUGCAGAACGUGGCAGUUGCAGUUUGCUUUGAUAAAACAUGGUUGUUUGGUCUUUAAAUUAGUAAAAAUGGAAUGGUGCUUGCCAUAGCUGACAGAUGCAUUAUCAGCACAGUAGCUGACUUAGGUUUUCAGCUGCAUACUAUUGCCUUCUACCGCUUCUAAAAUCUUGGUUGUUACUCCAUCUGCAGUUUCAUCACUGUCCACACAAAAAUCAAUCAAACGAUCACUGACACCUCUGGUAGAUGAAAAGAACCGGACAGACACUGGAUAUAUUUUCAGAUUGCCUUUGUUUGAAGCAUUAGUUGCUAAUGAUAAUGGUUUAUUCUGCUGCAGUUCACUUAAAGCCAGCUCCGCAGAAUGAGGUGAUAAAAUGUUUUCAGUGAACGACUAUGCUUUUAUUUUUCCACAAGAAAUUGUUUUGGCAAGUUUGGAAUAGGAAAAUAUUUGGCAAAAGAGUUUAUUACCACAAGCCUGCGAUGAGUAGCUGUGAUGAUGAAACGUCAUUGCUAGUUCGGACACAGUAACUUGUUCUUGGUCCAAAAAGUUGGGAGUGGAAAAGAAAUGUUUCACUGUAGCUGACAUUUUUUGGCUUUGAGAGUUUCGUUUGUGCUUGUUACUAGCUGUAUGUUUCCUGAUGGCCGUAAGUCCAUCAGUUCUGACAGAAAAUGAGCAGCAACUUUAUAGUGGAUAAAGUCGAUGUUAUUAUUGUCCCGGUUGAACUCUGAAUCCUUCAGCUACUCCUCUCGAAACUCACAAGUUCAUUGUUUCUUCUUAGGUGGAGUGAGUUUGUUAGUCACACACACAGGCAAUGAGGUCAUAUUCUUCACAGGUACAGGAAAUCCAUUAUCCAUCUCUUGGCAUGAUUCAGCAAAACCUGUUUCUCUAUUAAAUUUCCUAGUAGAAAAGAAAAACAAUAUAAUUUCUCUGCCCCUUAUUAAUAAAUAAGUAGAAAAACAGUUUAAAGUAAGCGGGGCAGGAACAGUUUGGAUUCAGAUCAGGAUGCACUACAACCAGCCUGUCAUUUGCAAUGAGACAGAUAGUGGGGAAAAGGCUAGAAAUGUGGAAAGAGUCCAAAUUAGGCAUUUCUGUAUUUGGAGAAAGCAUAUGACAAGGUUCCAAAAAAGUUGAUUUGGGCAGUGCUGAGAUGGUUCAAAGUUCCUGAAACAUUGGUAGAAUUCAUGCAGGCUGUGACGCCCCACCACUGGACCAUUAAUCAAGGAGCCUGAAUCCCCACCACUAGCAACGGUGGGGGACAUACGUUGGGAGGAUGAC